Molecule: ribosomal RNA, 331 nt
Filed under: uncultured bacterium
Lineage: Bacteria
Description: bacterial SSU rRNA
Rfam family: Bacterial small subunit ribosomal RNA
Source: RNAcentral
CGCGUAGGCGGUGCGGUAAGUCACCUGUGAAACCUCCGGGCUCAACUCGGAGCCUGCAGGCGAAACUGCCGUGCUGGAGUGUGGGAGGGUGCGUGGAAUUCCCGGUGUAGCAGUGAAAUGCGUAGAGAUCGGGAGGAACACCUGUGGCGAAAGCGGCGCACUGGACCACAACUGACGCUGAGGCGCGAAAGCUAGGGGAGCAAACAGGAUUAGAUACCCUGGUAGUCCUAGCCCUAAACGAUGGAUGCUUGAUGUAGCCGGUACCCAAUCCGGCUGUGCCGCAGCUAACGCGAUAAGCAUCCCGCCUGGGGAGUACGGUCGCAAGGCUGAA